GAACGCUGCGGCAUGCUUACACAUGCAAGUCGAACGGCAGCACGGGCUUCGGCCUGGUGGCGAGUGGCGAACGGGUGAGUAAUACAUCGGAACGUACCCAGAAGUGGGGGAUAACGUAGCGAAAGUUACGCUAAUACCGCAUACGUUCUACGGAAGAAAGUGGGGGAUCGCAAGACCUCAUGCUUUUGGAGCGGCCGAUGUCUGAUUAGCUAGUUGGUGAGGUAAAGGCUCACCAAGGCGACGAUCAGUAGCUGGUCUGAGAGGACGACCAGCCACACUGGAACUGAGACACGGUCCAGACUCCUACGGGAGGCAGCAGUGGGGAAUUUUGGACAAUGGGCGCAAGCUCUGAUCUCAGCAAUGCCGCGUGAGUGAAGAAGGCUCUUCGGGUUGUAAAGCUCUUUUGUCAGGGAAGAAACGGCAGGGGCUAAUAUCCUUUGCUAAUGACGGUGACUUCAAGAA
RNAcentral lists this ribosomal RNA (462 nucleotides) under uncultured bacterium. RNAcentral describes it as "bacterial SSU rRNA". It matches the Rfam family "Bacterial small subunit ribosomal RNA", at positions 31 to 487 of the family's 1533-position model. The record is from RNAcentral.